RNAcentral lists this ribosomal RNA (253 nucleotides) under uncultured bacterium. RNAcentral describes it as "partial 16S ribosomal RNA". It matches the Rfam family "Bacterial small subunit ribosomal RNA", at positions 524 to 776 of the family's 1533-position model. The record is from RNAcentral.
UGCGGAGGGGGCUAGCGUUGUUCGGAAUUACUGGGCGUAAAGCGCACGUAGGCGGCUUUGUAAGUUAGAGGUGAAAGCCCGGGGCUCAACUCCGGAAUUGCCUUUAAGACUGCAUCGCUAGAAUUGUGGAGAGGUGAGUGGAAUUCCGAGUGUAGAGGUGAAAUUCGUAGAUAUUCGCAGGAACACCAGUGGCGAAGGCGGCUCACUGGCCCGAUACUGACGCUGAGGCACGAAAGCGUGGGGAGCAAACAGG